UACGUAGGGUGCAAGCGUUAAUCGGAAUUACUGGGCGUAAAGCGUGCGCAGGCGGUUGUGCAAGACCGAUGCGAAAUCCCCGGGCUUAACCUGGGAAUGGCAUUGGUGACUGCACGGCUAGAGUGUGUCAGAGGGGGGUAGAAUUCCACGUGUAGCAGUGAAAUGCGUAGAGAUGUGGAGGAAUACCGAUGGCGAAGGCAGCCCCCUGGGAUAACACUGACGCUCAUGCACGAAAGCGUGGGGAGCAAACAGG
RNAcentral lists this ribosomal RNA (253 nucleotides) under uncultured bacterium. RNAcentral's name for it is "partial 16S ribosomal RNA". It matches the Rfam family "Bacterial small subunit ribosomal RNA", at positions 524 to 776 of the family's 1533-position model. The record is from RNAcentral.